GACGAACGCUGGCGGCGUGCUUAACACAUGCAAGUCGAACGGAAAGGCCCUGCUUUUGUGGGGUGCUCGAGUGGCGAACGGGUGAGUAACACGUGAGUAACCUGCCCUUGACUUUGGGAUAACUUCAGGAAACUGGGGCUAAUACCGGAUAGGAGCUCCUGCUGCAUGGUGGGGGUUGGAAAGUUUCGGCGGUUGGGGAUGGACUCGCGGCUUAUCAGCUUGUUGGUGGGGUAGUGGCUUACCAAGGCUUUGACGGGUAGCCGGCCUGAGAGGGUGACCGGCCACAUUGGGACUGAGAUACGGCCCAGACUCCUACGGGAGGCAGCAGUGGGGAAUAUUGCACAAUGGGCGGAAGCCUGCUGCAGCAACGCCGCGUGCGGGAUGACGGCCUUCGGGUUGUAACCCGCUUUCGCCUGUGACGAAGCGUGAGUGACGGUAAUGGGUAAAGAAGCACCGGCUAACUACGUG
Molecule: ribosomal RNA, 468 nt
Filed under: uncultured bacterium
Lineage: Bacteria
Description: partial 16S ribosomal RNA
Rfam family: Bacterial small subunit ribosomal RNA
Source: RNAcentral